RNAcentral lists this ribosomal RNA (365 nucleotides) under uncultured eukaryote. Its description in RNAcentral is "partial 18S ribosomal RNA". It matches the Rfam family "Eukaryotic small subunit ribosomal RNA", at positions 592 to 976 of the family's 1831-position model. The record is from RNAcentral.
CAAUAGCGUAUAUUUAAGUUGUUGCAGUUAAAAAGCUCGUAGUCGGAUUUUGGCUGAGAACGAUCGGUCCGCCGUUAGGUGUGCACUGAUUGGUCUCAGCUUCCUGGUGAGGAGGUGUGCUUCACGGCCACUUAGUCACCGUGGUUACUUUGAAAAAAUUAGAGUGUUCAAAGCGGGCUUACGCUUGAAUAUAUUAGCAUGGAAUAACACCAUAGGACUCCUGUCCUAUUUCGUUGGUCUCGGGACGGGAGUAAUGAUUAAGAGGAACAGUUGGGGGCAUUCGUAUUUCAUUGUCAGAGGUGAAAUUCUUGGAUUUAUGAAAGACGAACUUCUGCGAAAGCAUUCGGCAAGGAUGUUUUCAUUGA